Molecule: long non-coding RNA, 765 nt
Filed under: Carassius auratus (goldfish)
Lineage: Eukaryota; Metazoa; Chordata; Actinopteri; Cypriniformes; Cyprinidae
Description: lncRNA (ENSCARG00000055127.1)
Source: RNAcentral
GAAACAAUGGACAAUAUGGCUGGAGAAUGCAGAGAAGUCAUUGAAUCUGAUUCACCACAAAUGGAAACAAUGGACCAUACAGCUGGAGAAUGCAGUGCAGUUAUGGAAUCUGAUCCACUUUUAAUUAAUUACAGUUGCCACCUGUGUUUACAUGACACUUAGUUUGCAGUCAUAAUGAAAUAUAAUUUGUCAUUAUUCAUGCAGUAUUAUUUUGAUUUUUCUUAAUCUUUAUUACUUUAACAUGUCACAAAGGAAUCAAUGGACAACACUGUAGAAGAGUGCAGUGCAUUUUUGGAAUCCACUGGUCGAACCCAAACGGAGAGUCUUCUUCAUAGAAGAAACCUUAUACUUGAGCAAAGUGCAGAGUUCCGAAGAUGUUUGGAAAUUGAUCGACAAAGGAUGCAGAUACAGAAUGAAAUCCAUGAUGCUGCAAAACUCAGAGAGGAGGCAGAGAAAAGGCGUGUAGAUGUAAGUAUCAGUUAGUUUUGUUUUAACUACCCUAGCUUGCUUUACAAUGCAGUCAUGUUCACAAUGAAUACGCCGUAAAGAUGUUUAGCCAUAGAACUAUAAACCGUGUGUUUUUAUUUUUUUUUAACUACAUUUUAACUAAUGUUACGGAUACUUGCAAAUUGUAUAAAGUGCAGCUAAAUGUCAUUAAUGCCUUGACAAGUACUUUUGAAGAAUAUAUUUUGAUAAGCAAAUGACAGCUGUAAGGGAACAAUCAACAACAUUUGGAUAGCCACUGUCUCUAUAACUUUGGUAUUG